ACGCUGGCGGCACGCCUAACACAUGCAAGUCGAACGAAGUAGUAAUACUUAGUGGCAGACGGGUGAGUAACAUGUGGGUAUCUGCCCUUUGGCCUGGAAUAACACGAGGAAACUUGUGCUAAUACCGGAUAAGUCUUUACGGAGAAAGCUUUAUGCACCAUUGGAUGAGCCUGCACUUGAUUAGUUUGUUGGUGGGGUAAUGGCCUACCAAGACUGUGAUCAAUAGCUGAUUUGAGAGGAUGAUCAGCCACAUUGGGACUGAGACACGGCCCAAACUCCUACGGGAGGCAGCAGUGGGGAAUCUUGCACAAUGGAGGAAACUCUGAUGCAGCGAUGCCGCGUGAGUGAAGAAGGCCCUUGGGUUGUAAAGCUCUUUCGUCGGGGAAGAAAAUGACUGUACCCGAAUAAGAAGGUCCGGCUAACUUCGUGCCAGCAGCCGCGGUAAUACGAAGGGACCUAGCGUAGUUCGGAAUUACUGGGCUUAAAGAGUUCGUAGGUUGUUGAAAUAGUUGGUGGUGAAAUCCCAGAGCUUAACUCUGGAACUGCCAUCAAAACUUUUCAGCUAGAGUAUGAUAGAGGAAAGCAGAAUUUCUAGUGUAGAGGUGAAAUUCGUAGAUAUUAGAAAGAAUACCAAAUGCGAAGGCAGCUUUCUGGAUCAUUACUGACACUGAGGAACGAAAGCAUGGGUAGCGAAGAGGAUUAGAUACCCUCGUAGUCCAUGCUGUAAACGAUGUGUGUUAGACGUUGGAAAUUUAUUUUCAGUGUCGCAGGGAAACCGAUAAACACACCGCCUGGGGAGUACGACCGC
This 808-nucleotide ribosomal RNA is filed under the name uncultured Pelagibacteraceae bacterium. RNAcentral describes it as "bacterial SSU rRNA". It matches the Rfam family "Bacterial small subunit ribosomal RNA", at positions 33 to 889 of the family's 1533-position model. Lineage: Bacteria; Pseudomonadati; Pseudomonadota; Alphaproteobacteria; Candidatus Pelagibacterales; Candidatus Pelagibacteraceae. The record is from RNAcentral.